AGUGAACGCUGGCGGUAGGCCUAACACAUGCAAGUCGAACGGCAGCACAGUAAGAGCUUGCUCUUACGGGUGGCGAGUGGCGGACGGGUGAGGAAUACAUCGGAAUCUACUUUUUCGUGGGGAUAACGUAGGGAAACUUACGCUAAUACCGCGUACGACCUACGGGUGAAAGCAGGGGAUCUUCGGACCUUGCGCGAUUGAAUGAGCCGAUGUCGGAUUAGCUAGUUGGCGGGGUAAAGGCCCACCAAGGCGACGAUCCGUAGCUGGUCUGAGAGGAUGAUCAGCCACACUGGAACUGAGACACGGUCCAGACUCCUACGGGAGGCAGCAGUGGGGAAUAUUGGACAAUGGGCGCAAGCCUGAUCCAGCCAUACCGCGUGGGUGAAGAAGGCCUUCGGGUUGUAAAGCCCUUUUGUUGGGAAAGAAAAGCAGCAGGUUAAUACCCCGCUGUUCUGACGGUACCCAAAGAAUAAGCACCGGCUAACUUCGUG
Molecule: ribosomal RNA, 491 nt
Filed under: uncultured bacterium
Lineage: Bacteria
Description: partial 16S ribosomal RNA
Rfam family: Bacterial small subunit ribosomal RNA
Source: RNAcentral